This 497-nucleotide ribosomal RNA is filed under the name uncultured bacterium. RNAcentral describes it as "partial 16S ribosomal RNA". It matches the Rfam family "Bacterial small subunit ribosomal RNA", at positions 28 to 507 of the family's 1533-position model. The record is from RNAcentral.
GAUGAACGCUGGCGGCGUGCCUAAUACAUGCAAGUCGAGCGAACAGACGAGGAGCUUGCUCCUCUGACGUUAGCGGCGGACGGGUGAGUAACACGUGGAUAACCUACCUAUAAGACUGGGAUAACUUCGGGAAACCGGAGCUAAUACCGGAUAAUAUGUUGAACCGCAUGGUUCAACAGUGAAAGACGGCUUUGCUGUCACUUAUAGAUGGUUCCGCGCCGCAUUAGCUAGUUGGUAAGGUAACGGCUUACCAAGGCGACGAUGCGUAGCCGACCUGAGAGGAUGAUCAGCCACACUGGAACUGAGACACGGUCCAGACUCCUACGGGAGGCAGCAGUAGGGAAUCUUCCGCAAUGGGCGAAAGCCUGACGGAGCAACGCCGCGUGAGUGAAGAAGGUCUUCGGAUCGUAAAACUCUGUUAUUGGGGAAGAACAGAUGUGUAAGUAACUAUGCACGUCUUGACGGUACCUAAUCAGAAAGCCACGGCUAACUACGUG